AGGAUAAUAGUUAAACAUAACAUUUGUUUUGCAUUCAAAAAUUAUUAAUAUAAUAUAAAUAUUAAUUUAUCUUA
This 74-nucleotide transfer RNA is filed under the name Neodiprion qinghaiicus. RNAcentral's name for it is "tRNA-Ala". The record is from RNAcentral. Lineage: Eukaryota; Metazoa; Arthropoda; Insecta; Hymenoptera; Diprionidae.